This 253-nucleotide ribosomal RNA is filed under the name uncultured bacterium. Its description in RNAcentral is "partial 16S ribosomal RNA". It matches the Rfam family "Bacterial small subunit ribosomal RNA", at positions 524 to 776 of the family's 1533-position model. The record is from RNAcentral.
UACGUAGGUGGCAAGCGUUGUCCGGAUUUACUGGGCGUAAAGAGCGCGCAGGCGGUCGAUUUAGUCGAGUGUGAAAGCCCCCGGCUCAACUGGGGAGGGUCAUUCGAUACUGAUCGACUCGAAGGCAGGAGAGGGUAGUGGAAUUCCCGGUGUAGUGGUGAAAUGCGUAGAUAUCGGGAGGAACACCAGUGGCGAAGGCGACUACCUGGCCUGUUCUUGACGCUGAGGCGCGAAAGCUAGGGGAGCAAACGGG